This 739-nucleotide long non-coding RNA is filed under the name Carica papaya (papaya). Its description in RNAcentral is "long non-coding RNA (CPAP_LNC001498)". Lineage: Eukaryota; Viridiplantae; Streptophyta; Magnoliopsida; Brassicales; Caricaceae. The record is from RNAcentral.
GUAUUUUUGAAAGAAAAAUUAAAAAUAUUGGGUUAAAAUGCAAAAACAAAGUUCGGUCACAUGGGACGGCCCGGUCAGUAGCCCCAGAAAAGUAGAGCACGCCGGUGAAACCCUCGUUGACAUCAGCACCACGCGGGAAGCCACGCGUGGAUCUGCGUGCUCGGCGAUCCGACAGUCCAGAUAUCAUCUCGCACGUGUGAAUGGGCCAGAUGUGUUCCCUCUUUAGGCGUGAUCGAAUGAUCAAAUUCAAUCUGAUCGGCGGCCCAGAUUUAUUUCCCCAAUAAGAUGAAUCCAAUGGAUGAGAGAAGGCCACGUAUCCUCGAGUGAACUGCCCAGAUCGAGACGGGAUGUGUAUUUAAACAUCGCAUCUAAGGGAAUCCUAACCCUACCCACACCUGCCUUCGUUGGAGAAGGAGACCGACCACCGGCCGCCGCUGCACCAGAACCACCCCCGACCAUAAAAAGGUUAGUCGAAGAAGAAACCCCAACUGCGAAAAGGAAUCGGUGGAUGAGCUGCACCCGGAGACUCCUUCGCCUGUAGGUUCGAUUUUUUUUUUCUGACCAACUAAGGCUUCCUAACGUAUUUUGUGCAGGGAUACAUGCAAAAUCGGCCAAAACUAGCCAAAACUAGCCAAAACCAGCUAGGCCAAGGCGAACUGCCGCUACUAGAGCACGGUGGCAGGGCCGUACUAGAACCCUAAAAUUUGCUGGAAACGAUUUUCAAUACUGAUUUUGAAUU